Molecule: non-coding RNA, 72 nt
Organism: Phrynosoma platyrhinos (Desert horned lizard)
Lineage: Eukaryota; Metazoa; Chordata; Lepidosauria; Squamata; Phrynosomatidae
Source: the annotation of a GenBank genome assembly
GCCAGUGUGGUGUAAUGCUUUGAGUGUUGGACUAUGACUCUGGAGACCAGGGUUAGAAUCCCUGCACAGCCA